AAGGUCAAGGACGAGAGACGAUGACGGACACUAUACUAACGGUGGAGUGUGAGGUGAACGUGUCGUGUACCACCCUCAAGGAGCAGCCCGGAGCUACGAUAGUGUCGCCCAUCUUACUGUCGCUUAGUGGCGUCGCGGGACAGAUCUGGGCACUGUAUUACCUGUACACCAGCACCCGGCCGCAACACUCCCGUACUGUGUUCUUUGUGUUGCUAAGUACACUCAUCUGGACCGAUCUGGCGGGUAAGUCAUCACCACCACACCUGCUCUAGUGGCAUACCUCCAUCACUCCUGGGUCGGCGGGGUACCCAUGUGUAAUUUCCACGGGUUUUCUAUGAUGCUGGUCAGCUUAGUCACCCACCUUCUCGUCUCUACCAUGGCCGUCGAGAGGUUUAUUGGCAUCAGGCAUGGCUACUUCUACAACAAGAACAUCACCCCGACGAGAACUAAAACACUCCUGCUGGGGAUGUGGCUGUUCUCCGUACUGUACUCUGCUGUUAUAUGCUGUGUUCCCUCCUCCCUCCUCCUUCAGAACACUCCUGCUGGGGAUGUGGCUGUUCUCAGUGCUGUACUAUGCUGUUAUAUGCUGUGUUCCCUCCCUCCCUCCUCCUUCAGAACACUCCUGCUGGGGAUGUGGCUGUUCUCAUUGUUGUACUCUGCUGUUAUAUGC
Long non-coding RNA from Homarus americanus (American lobster), 670 nucleotides. RefSeq lists it as uncharacterized. The record is from RefSeq and is a predicted model, not a curated record. Lineage: Eukaryota; Metazoa; Arthropoda; Malacostraca; Decapoda; Nephropidae. The transcript has 4 exons.